This 253-nucleotide ribosomal RNA is filed under the name uncultured bacterium. RNAcentral's name for it is "partial 16S ribosomal RNA". It matches the Rfam family "Bacterial small subunit ribosomal RNA", at positions 524 to 776 of the family's 1533-position model. The record is from RNAcentral.
UACGAGUACCCCGAGCGUUAUCCGGAAUUAUUGGGCGUAAAGGAUGUGUAGGUGGUUUUGUUAGUCGUGUGUUAAAGCCUGAAGCUCAACUUCAGAUCCGCAUACGAAACGGCAAGACUAGAGGUUGGGAGAGGUAAGCGGAACUCUAUGUGUAGGGGUGAAAUCCGUUGAUAUAUAGGGGAACACCAAAAGCGAAGGCAGCUUACUGGCCCACACCUGACACUGAAACAUGAAAGCGUGGGUAGCGAAUGGG